Molecule: ribosomal RNA, 253 nt
Filed under: uncultured bacterium
Lineage: Bacteria
Description: partial 16S ribosomal RNA
Rfam family: Bacterial small subunit ribosomal RNA
Source: RNAcentral
UACGGAGGAUCCAAGCGUUAUCCGGAUUCACUGGGUUUAAAGGGUGCGUAGGUGGGUUGGUAAGUCAGUGGUGAAAUCUCCGAGCUUAACUUGGAAACUGCCAUUGAUACUAUCAGUCUUGAAUAUUGUGGAGGUCAGCGGAAUAUGUCAUGUAGCGGUGAAAUGCUUAGAUAUGACAUAGAACACCAAUUGCGAAGGCAGCUGGCUACGCAUAUAUUGACACUGAGGCACGAAAGCGUGGGGAUCAAACAGG